GGACGGACAGCGCUGGGGCGCGCUGGGCCUCGGCGCUGCCGCGGAGCCGCGUGGGGCCCGUCCCGCCCGCACGUCUCGGGGUGCCGAGGAAAAGAGGUGCUCUGGGCUCGGCUACAACCCUGCACUGUGACUGGUGAAAGCGUGAACAAAAGUUCUGCUGUACGGGAGAUUUCCUGGAGGUUGGACUGGAAUAUGUCUCUUGGGAAAAUACGUCAUUUUGCCUGAAAGACUCCAAGCAAUGAUGACUUACCACCUCCUCAGGUAUGCUUGGCUUACCUUCUCUUCUCAGCUGCCAUGGUCGCUCUACCCCCACAAGAAAACCAGCUGCCAGGAGCUAUAUGCAUAACGUAUAUGCACUUAACAACACUUUCAUUGUCUUUCUAUCCAAUUGCAAAAGUCAUUUUCUUAGCUCAUUGCUCCGGUCCUGCCACUCCUCUUUUUUUGCAUAAUGCCAUUGGCUCCAUUUCUUCACUGCAUGAAAUAUAUACGAUACAGAUGACUUCUCUUUACUUUUCAAGCCAUGUCUAAUCUACAUCACCAAGAAGUUUCCCUCAUUGCCAUUAUACAAGCGAUACCAGUAUUUUAAGGCAGUAUUGUACAUUCACUUUCAUGCUUUCACCCAUGCUACUGAUUAUGCAUAGCACAAAAUCUGUGUAAUACCCCUAAACCCUUCUUUCUCUGCUUUUUCAACCAUCAAGUCUCUGCCUCAAGCUUUGUCAGAGCCCAAGCAUGGCUACAUAACUCUUUUGCUGGAGAUGCUUUUUCAUAUGAAUCAGUUAUAACCUCUUCCUGCUCAUCUUCUCUCUAUAAGGCACUUCAAAGGCAAAAUAGUUUGUUGGUUUCAUGUCUGUAGUGCAAGCUACAGUGAGGAUGGGUUUAGGUGUAAUUUUAAGAGUAGCAUUAACAACAAAAAUACAGUAAACCAAAUUAUUUGUCUUGUUUCUAAGUCUGCAAGGUACUUCCAGGGAGUAGUUUCAGUAUAAGCUGUUUAAUUUGCCAUACUAAAGUUGCUUAAGUCUGUGGAUUCCAGGCGUAAAUUUGCCGCAGGGACUAAGAGACAAAGAGGGGGACUGGAACGGUGCCUUUUCUGACAGAUGACUGUUACUGGCUUAGUAGAAUUACCAGAAUGCACCCUGAGGGGCUGUAGUCAUUCUGUUUGAUUCACUCAGUGAGAACCAUGCUCAGCAUGGAGCCAUGGGGGCAUGGUGAUGUGAUUUACAGGUCCCUUACCAGGAUCAUAGUCAAAGUCACCCACAGUGCUGCCUGGACAAACAUCUGGCCACAUUUCUGUUAGUAUGGAGCUGUGAGUGGUUCUGCAAAAUUCUGUUUUAUGGAGAGGUAAUAUAAAAUGGCAUUUCCCCUUGUUUCUGUUUCUUUUGGAAAUUAUGUUAUUUUGUCAUCUCAUGUGUAGGUAGAGUAAAGUAAAUAAUAUAGAGUAAAGGAUAUUAUAUUAUAAAUUAUACUUUUCAAAAACCACUUUAAAGGGUUAAUUAAUUCUAUUAAUUAGAAUAAUAGUCAGGGUAUGCAAUUUAAGAUUCUUAGAGACUUAAGAUAUCACUGAGCUAGAGAAAUGAGAUCUACAUGCUUUCAAUAUUUAGCAGCUAGAAGAUCACAUUUUCAUUCAUGACCGCAAAGUGUGUGUUUUAUUCAGGAAAAAUGAGUCUUGUCAAAUAGCUUUCAUAUUGUUCUUUGGCAAGAUUACAAGUAAAUUUGAUAAACAUGACUCUAUUGACAUAAUACACUAGUUUAUGUAGGACAUUUUUUUUAUUCUGUGUGGCAGCAUGCAUUGAAGAGAUGUAUGGGAACCAAAAAAUUUAAGAAGUAUUUUUCUAUAUGGUUGUUUGCCAUGUCACAGCUCCCUGCAAUAUGCCUGCCUCCUUUCUGUGUUUUUACUUUAUUGCCUUAUAAUGCCUGUAGUUUAAAAAUGCCCUGUCUUUGCAUAAUGUCUAACAUCUUGAAGUAUUCAGAAUACCAAACAAUGGGCACUGGAACCAAACCAGUUUGUCAAGGAUCUGUCCUUUUCUAGUUACACUUCAAAACUCUAAGGUAGUCACAUUUUCUGUAUUUUAUAAAAUAAGUAUUAUCAGGUUCCUAAUUGAACGAAUCAGUGAUGCAACCAUGCAAUAAAGCUCAUGAACUGCUGAGCCCAGUGCACGGCAUUACUCUAUCCAGUGCACAGUGGAUAAAUAUACCUUUAAAAAUAUCCAGCUAUCAUUUUCAUGCUGUUGGACUAAUCACAAGAGAAUCUGUAGACUGAAUAGUGAAAGGGUGAAAACUACUCUUAAAGCCCCCAAUAAGAGUGAGCCCUCAGUAGUGUGAACAUGCAAGAUGAGAAGAGAGCUUCAGUUCCUCUGUGGUCUUGAUGAGUCCCUGAUGCCAUUCACUGAUACUAAGUUAUACAAAGUUUAAUCUCUGAUGUCAGUACAAUUCUCAGCAGAUGUCUUAGUAAUUUCUCCAUGCAGGCAGUGAAAGGCAAAAGAAUUUUUUUUUCCCUAGCAUUCAGGAACAAAUAGCACUGAUAAUAAAAUGUCUUUUUACUUGUCUACUAGUCUGGCUAAUGAAGAUGACGGGCCAUGAAGUUUCAGAGUAUUUAUGAUUUUAAAAGGUGGAGUAUACACCCAGUAAUCACCUAUAGAUAGCUGACUCUAGUGUUCAGGAAUACUUGAUUCCCAAGCUGCAAACCCUAUUAUUCAUCUGGGUAUUAAGUGUUGAUUCUACCAGGUACAUGGUGAAAAGGUCUUUGACUUAAGUCAUUCAAAUGACAUACACAUUCUAUGAGCAAAUCACACAGACAAAAUCUCUGACUACAAGUGAGGAAGGCUCUCUCCUUCGUACUGGAAAAAGUCUCAAAGGUUACACAUUAUUGUCUUUCUAGUCAUGAAUGUGUAGAGAGCUGGGGCCCUGAAUAUUUGGUUGGUGAGUGUAGGAAACGAAUCAAUACAGAAUUACUUUUUGUAAGAUCUGUUCAUUUGUCAGCAGUCAAAACAUUACAUUUUCUUCAAAAGUAUAUUUUGAUUGAGACAGUACUAUAAUAAUACAGGCAUUGUGUAUUUAUUUUUAUUAAACUAAAAAUGGUACUAUUUUCUAUGAGAGACAAAAUUAAAUACACUUUUUAGUGGCUUGUAAUAAUCUGAUAUCUCCUAAAGUAACAAAGUGCAACCUGAAUUGUGUUAAAGGAAGUUUCUUUGGAUUGUGAAUAUGUCUGUAACAAGUGGCUAGUGUUAUCAACAGAGCUUUUAAGUGAAGGCUUUACUGUUAUAGGCUUGUCUGACUUGGAUAACAAACUCUUUUAGUAUUUCAGCCCAUAAAUCCUGAACAGAAAGAUACUAUUCUCUUGUGUCUCUGACAAACUAAAAGAGAAUCUUUGUUUGCAGAGCUCCCCAGAGUUAACACAGUACUAGUUAAUGAUUUCACCAUCGUAAUUACUUUCUAGGCUCUGUCUGUCAGGCAGAAUGGGCUGCAUCAAUUUUGUGCAACAUUACUGUUUUACCUGGUUUCAUGCUACUUGUCUAUCAACCUGUCCAUAGCAAAUUCUGAAUAUAUGGACCAAUUUAUCAUAGAAUUCUAGAAUCCUAGAAUGGUUUGGGUUGCAAGGGACCUUAAAUAUUUAUAUCAUUUAGUUCCAACCCCCCCCCUGUUAUGGGCAGUGACACUUUCUACUAGACCAGGUUGCUCCGAACCUCAUCCAACUUAACCUUCAGCAAUUCCAGGAAUGGUGCAUCUGCGAUUGCUCAGGGCAACCUGUUCCAAUGUCUUGCCACCCUCACUGUAAAGAUUUUUUUCCUAAUAUCUAGUCUAAACCUACUCUCAGUUUAAAGCCAUUCCCCCUUGUCCUAUUGUCCUAGGGUGACGUUAUGGUGUUUGUAUCUCCAAUCGUGUGUUCUGUUUACGAUUGAUAUUAUGUUCUGUGCUUUCAGAACUGACUCUGAAAGUGAAGGUUUGUUUUGCCAUGUUAUCAUCUGCUUCACCUCCCCCCAUGGUCUGCUGUCUAGAAAAGGCUAGGGCUGGCUGACUGGCUUUACUUUGCUUGCUUAGCUUGCUUCUGCUUUUGCCUUUGCUUCCUAGUUAGGUUAGCUAAGCAGUCCAAUUCUUUCCCUGGACUGUUGCUUUUUCCUUUCCUCUUCCUGAAUACCAUCCAACCUGCUCUGGACUGGGAUCUGGGAAACACCAAGGAACACCAGGAGCCUGCAUUUUGUGAUCUGCAGCAGCCAUCCCCAGUGCUGGAGAGCAAUCCCCAGCGUCCAGACCCGGGUGACCACUCCCAGGAAAGACUUUCUGGAUUUGUUCAUCUCUUCAGAGGGGUGAAAGAGUUUUGUUGUCAUCUGGUGUUGUUAAUUGUUUUGGUGCUGGGGAGUGUUUUGUUCGUUGAAUAAA
Molecule: long non-coding RNA, 4374 nt
Filed under: Taeniopygia guttata (zebra finch)
Lineage: Eukaryota; Metazoa; Chordata; Aves; Passeriformes; Estrildidae
Description: lncRNA (ENSTGUG00000023815.1)
Source: RNAcentral